AUUUCCAAACAAGGGACACGGUUUCACCAUAGAAACGCUAUUUUUAAGAAUCCUCCUGACAGUCAACCCUAGCCUGUGCUCCUGCACCAUGAAAAUGAGGCUUUACCAAGAGGAGAAAAGACCUGGACGUUCCUGCCCACUGGGGACCUUUAUAGAGAUGGUGUUCUUCUGAGAGUACUGAGUGCUGGGGCACUUAUCUGCCACCACCCAUCAAUGGACCUGCUACCAUUCCUGGCCCUAGAAUGUGACAAGCACACCCAGCUGCAGACGCCUUCAGGGUUGCCUGUGACCGCUGCCCUCCUCUAUGAGGAGCUUCCUGCUGCCCACAGCUCGACAGACCAACCACAGACCCUCCAGGGCCGUGUCUACACUCCCCUGUCCAACCUCGUCCUCUGGCUUCUACACUAGGCUGCCGGAAUUUUAUCUUUAACGCCAGUGCUGGGGUUGACUUCUCAGAGCAUCUUGUAACGUUAAUGCGAGUCUCAAAACAAGUAUUACCAGCGUCCCCUCCCUCCAUUCUGAUGUGAAGAGGCUCCACAGGUCCUCCAUCCUAAUCCGGCAACCAGGAGCCCACCCGCCGGGAAGUGCCAUCUGGCUGUCCACGUGCUGCUUUCUCCAGCUUUGACUGGUGCACGGCAGUGAGGACUGGGACAUUUCCAAGGUAACCCAGCAGAGGAGGGUUGCCCAGGUUGGGUUUUCAACAGCAGACUGUGUGGCCUCCGAGAGGAUACCCACCAAGUGCCCCAAAUCACCUCUCCCAAGAAGCCCGACCACAGAAUGCAGGGAGGCUGCGGAGCCCAGCCUGGAAGUGUGGGAUCCAAAUAGAAGGGGAGCAGGGUCUGUCCUCCCCAACCCCCACCCCAGUGCACGUGUGUCUGGAUCACACGUCCAACAUGGGAAAGGCCCCUCAGAACAGCUCAUGCCGACCCCAGGGCACUGCUGAUAUUCUCCUCUCCUCUGCCCUGAUGGUACAGGGCUCCCACAAGGAACGGAUUGUUUUGCUUUUCUGAUUUAAUUUGCCACUGAGAAGCCAAGGACGAGGGAACAGAGACAAUUCCCAGGCCCGUCGGAUGCACACACAUUCUGGGCUCUGCAGAGACCUUUUACAGAAAGAGGGCUCUAAAUUCUGAGGGAAAUCCAUCCAGCCGGGGAAAGAUGGCAAUAAAUCUGUGAGAAAAUAAAUUUUCACUUUAAGAGGAAAUUUUACCAUCGCCAAAUUCUGCCAAAUUUUGGAUUUGGGGAUUGGUAAAGAGGUUUCCAAAAUGAAAUGAUGUCUAAACGUUGUUUAUUUUAAAGGACGUAAUACAUAGUAAAAAUGAAAUAAUCCUCCCACCCCGUUGAGAGUGCUUUUCUUUCCCAACAGACCUCCUCCAGCUCCAGUAAUUUCACUGUUAAUGGGCAGAGGAGAAGCAAUCAGCUAGGUAACAGGCACCCCUGGCGCUGAAGUCAUUUAAUUAGCACCAGUAAAUGAGAGCAGCCCAGGUGCUCGGGCGUCAUUAGCCGUGCCCAAAACAUCUCCCACAUUGGUCAGCAAUUAGAGCCAGGGGUGGGGAGCUAAGCGCCCUCAGAGAGGAAUCCUCCCAACCCAGGACAUGAUGGGGUCCGAGGUCCAGUUCUGCAAAAGGCGGAUCAAGGUCAGAGCCCCCAAACCUCUAGGGAGUCAUGGAAAUUGAGGAGGUAAGAGGUGUUAUGAACCACCUAACAAAUUCAUGAGAUGCCAUACUUUCCACCCAGGAGAAGUUACCUGGGCUCUGGAGCCAUACUAUCAUCGUUGAAUCCUAGCUAGAUGCUUCCAGCAACUUACUAGAUCUUUUGGUCUCAGUUUUCUCAUCUGAAAAACAGGGAUAACAACAAAACCUGCCUGAGGUUUAAAGGAGUUAAUGCCUGUGAGCCGCCUGGAAGGCAUGCGGAAGCCUUUCAGCAGCGUUGUUCUUCCUAUGUUGCUUGAUUAUUUCUGUCAUCAUUAAAUUUAUGUCACUUGAGUUUUCCACCAUCAGUCAGCCAUGGUUUCCCUGUUCGUAAGUAAUGGAGUCAGCAGUCACAGUGGGAGUAGUGUUGAUGAUCAUGGCUUCCACUUGGUGCUCAGCAUGUGCUCGGUUUGGGUCUAGAGACCCUAUGUUGGGGGGAUGCCCUCCAUACCAACUCCAGCCACCACAUGUUUUUUGUAAAUAAAGUUUUA
Long non-coding RNA from Marmota monax (woodchuck), 2179 nucleotides. RefSeq lists it as uncharacterized. The transcript has 5 exons. Lineage: Eukaryota; Metazoa; Chordata; Mammalia; Rodentia; Sciuridae. The record is from RefSeq and is a predicted model, not a curated record.